This 83-nucleotide small RNA is filed under the name Marmota monax (woodchuck). The record is from RNAcentral. Lineage: Eukaryota; Metazoa; Chordata; Mammalia; Rodentia; Sciuridae.
GCUGGGUGCAAUGGUGUACACCUGUAAUCCCAGCAGCUGGGAGGCUGAGGCAGGAAGAUCAUAAGUUCAAAGUCAGCCUCAGU